Molecule: long non-coding RNA, 472 nt
Filed under: Marmota monax (woodchuck)
Lineage: Eukaryota; Metazoa; Chordata; Mammalia; Rodentia; Sciuridae
Source: RNAcentral
CAUGGCUCCUUUGAGACCACAGGAAAGUGGCUUUAGUUUUCCUCUCGUCAGCCUUGGCUGGGAGCAUAGCACUCUGAUGGCAUUGCUGUCUCUGAUCAGAUGUUCUUUUUGAUCUGUUUCUGCUGUGACAUGGAGCCUUCCCUCCUGUCUCCAGAACUCUCCCUCCAUGUCCUUUAUGCAGUGUUUGAGAGCAUGUGGCAUUUGGCCAAAGGGAAGUGAUUGUGCCUUCCAGGGUAGGGGAAAACCAGUUUCAAGGGGCAGAGGAGCACAUGGUCUGUCCAGAAUAUAGUACCUCGACUCUGCUGGGUGGAGAACUUAGAGAAGCAGUGCCCUGAAGGAUGUAGAAUGUAGUGAGUAAGAGGACAGAGCCACCCUGCUGUGGUGUCCAGUGCCCAGCAGCAGGUCACGCAGGAUCCCAGGGUAACGCUGCCACCUCAGGCCUGGAGAAGCUGCUCUGCCCUGGGUUCACACC